CAGUCGCCGCGGGAAUACGUAGGGUGCGAGCGUUAAUCGGAAUUACUGGGCGUAAAGCGUGCGCAGGCGGUUAUAUAAGACAGAUGUGAAAUCCCCGGGCUCAACCUGGGACCUGCAUUUGUGACUGUAUAGCUAGAGUACGGUAGAGGGGGAUGGAAUUCCGCGUGUAGCAGUGAAAUGCGUAGAUAUGUGGAGGAAUACCGAUGGCGAAGGCAGCCCCCUGGGAUAACACUGACGCUCAUGCACGAAAGCGUGGGAGCAAACAGGAUUAGAUACCCCGGUAGUCCCUGUCUCUUAUACA
Molecule: ribosomal RNA, 301 nt
Filed under: uncultured bacterium
Lineage: Bacteria
Description: partial 16S ribosomal RNA
Rfam family: Bacterial small subunit ribosomal RNA
Source: RNAcentral